UACGUAGGGGGCAAGCGUUGUCCGGAAUCAUUGGGCGUAAAGCGCGUGUAGGCGGCUCGGUAAGUCUGCUGUGAAAGUCCAGGGCUCAACCCUCGGAUGCCGAUCGAUACUGCCGGGCUAGAGUCCGGAAGAGGCGAGUGGAAUUCCUGGUGUAGCGGUGAAAUGCGCAGAUAUCAGGAGGAACACCAAUGGCGAAGGCAGCUCGCUGGGACGGUACUGACGCUGAGGCGCGAAAGCGUGGGGAGCAAACAGG
This 253-nucleotide ribosomal RNA is filed under the name uncultured bacterium. RNAcentral describes it as "partial 16S ribosomal RNA". It matches the Rfam family "Bacterial small subunit ribosomal RNA", at positions 524 to 776 of the family's 1533-position model. The record is from RNAcentral.